This 4349-nucleotide long non-coding RNA is filed under the name Mustela putorius furo (domestic ferret). RNAcentral's name for it is "lncRNA (ENSMPUG00000031043.1)". Lineage: Eukaryota; Metazoa; Chordata; Mammalia; Carnivora; Mustelidae. The record is from RNAcentral.
UUGAAAGAAAGAUAAAGGGAUGUAUCUGUAGGCCCAGCUCAUCUGUGGAGAUGUGAUGUGGUCAACACAGCAGGGGCUCUCUUCCAACAGCCGCAAAAGCACUGAGUUCCAAAUGAUAAAACACUGUCUCAGGCUUCCAAGGACAGUCAAUGCAGCUUUCUCUGCAUGAGUUCUUAGGCAAGUCUCAUCAGAAUUAAGUGUUUACCUUGUAGGCUCCAGGGUUGUGGCCACUUCUGAGCCCUGGCUUUAUUGGUCAUGAGAUUUCCUUUGUAAGAAAUGUCUGCUAAAUUAAGUCAAUAGCCUGUGGGUGGAAAUAAUAACUUUCACACACAGAAAUCUCAAAAUUCUGAGCUUCAUGAAACUGAAUUGGAGCUUCCUGAAGUCUCCUGUUCAUUGUUUCUUUUCCAGUGCUUUGCCAUUGAUCCCUGGGACGAUUGGGAACACUGGCCCUUCACAACUUUGCUCUGCAACCUCACGGAUGGAAUCUCCUCAGACCACUCAACUCUCCGGGCAAGUGGAUGCUGACUGUCAGAAAAAGAAGAAGGAGGUCAUCGGUAUUAAAUGCAUGACGGCAUGUGCGGCCUACUGCUGCUUCCCCAGUACCACCGCCAGUGUUCUGGGUCUCUUUUGCAACUCUGGGUUGGGAGGGUCACUCUAUAUCUGCAUUUGCCCUGUCGGUAAUCACACUGACAUUCAGGUACAAACUGGUCAUUAGCAACUAGGUCAUUAUUUUGUUAUGCACUACUUUACAAUAAAGGAAGAAGGAAAAGGGAUCAUCCUUUAGCUCAGAUACUUAAGAGUUACAGAAUUCAGGUGAUAUAUUCACAAUAGCCAUUAGCUAUAGAAGUCACCAGAUCUUCAUGAUCUCUGGUAUAAAUUAAUAAAGUAGUACCCAAGUAUUCCAUCUUUAUGUCUCAUCCAUAUUUUACUAUUUUAUUCCUUGAGAAUUAUCCUAGGAAAGAUAGAAUUUCACUCCUUGCUACUUUUUAACCAACCCACGUAUGGAUUCCACAAGUACUUGAAUAAGGAAUGGCAAGAGAUUGAACACAAAAUAGGUACUAGAUGACUAUUAGCUAAAUGAAUGAAUGAAUGAAUUCAUGCAUGAAUAAUUAAGUAGUAUAUAUUUCAUCAAAACUACAUCUUCUAGCUUUAGAGUGUAUGACAUCUAAAACCACAGUUAGCAUAGAAUUUAGAGAAUUCAAGUUCUCUAUGACACAUGAAUACAUUCAUGUUCUUUGAAAGCCCCUGCCUGGAUGGCACUACAUUAAAUUAAAAAAUCAGAAAACUACAGUUGGUAAUGCCCUCUAGAGAUACAGAUUAUGUCCCCCUGCCCUGUAGCAAGUGGUGGAUAACUGAGGGUUUGGAGUUAAGGAAACCUUAAUUUGCAUUUCAGUCCCUUAUCUUACUGGGAUGUGCCAUUUGCACAAACAAAAGAAACAGAAACAUUGCACAAGCAACAGAAAGAGCAGUGCUGCCAUAUUGGACUCUAACACUUUCAUAUUUAUCAAUUAUUGUAUUUAGUUUGAUUUAUUAAAAUGUAAUAACAUAGGUGUGUUGAUUACUGAAUUUCUUGUCACCCCCUUAAAUUUUGCUCACUCACCUCACCCUAAUCCCACCCUCUCAGCAUUACUGUUUUCUUCAGGUGCAAAGUAUGAUGAUAAUUUCUUCCUCCUAGGAUCAGUUAGAAUUUAAUAAGCUAGUGCAGUGUCCAGGUGCUCAUAACGUCUGCUCACUAAGUGGUAGAUAUUAUGGUUAUUAGAUACUUUGUUAGCAUCACUUAAGAAAGGAAUAGUGGUGUUUGAGGACUCUCUUUAGAUAGACUAUUGGUACAAGAUAAAGAGCUUAAUAAAUAACUGGAAGAAAUGAUAUCAGGUUACCUCAAAGCUGUCUUUUAUCCUCCUUUUUUAUGAUUAUUUUUUAAAACAAAAGACUGCUUUAUCAGAAUACAGGAAAGACAUGUCCAUCCAGUAUUGUCUGGAAGAGAAUCACGGUUCCUCCAAAUGAGAAUUAUGGUUCCACAAGUGCCAAGGCAUGUGAUGCUCUAGGAGUUCGGGUCACAUUUAGGACAGUAUAGCACUGGCACACAUUAGUUCAGGGCAAACAUCAGACGUUUGUGAUAUGUUUUUCUGUACAUGGAGUAUGGUCUGAGGUGUGAGAGGGACAGUGAUGCGUGUUGUGUCAGUGCCACUGGUGGGGGUCAUCAUGAGCCAAGGUUAUGAGCCAGUACUUAUGUAGAGAGGUACUACAAUCAAUGUUGGGCAAGAAAAUAUAACCCAUACUAAUUAUUCCACCAGAGAUCAUGAAUAUGGGGAACUGGGUAACAAGGUGUAGGAAGAUAAACUAGACAGAAGAAAAGACUGAAGCUCUUCCAGGGCUGGCAGAACAUGGAGAAGUUAGGAUUCCCAGAAACUGCAAGUUUUAGGACCUGUAGGAAAACUAAAAAGGCUGGCAGAGCUGGGGCCAACCUUCCAAGGAGAGGUGCCACCUGGCUGCUUCUGUAUCUCAAGAGCUUAUUGGAAGGACCAGGCAGAGCUGGUAGUUAUCCUCUGGGAGGGGGCAUUGCACAGCCCAUGCCGGUUCCCAUGGCAGGGAACAUGACCUGGCCUGGGAACUGUGGAAAGAAGCUGGAAACAGAACCAGCUGUUCUUAGAAAUAAGUACUUCUUAUUCUGGGUGAAGGGCCAUUGCUGAAACAGUGCUGACAGGAGGAACAAACCAACAGGAAGGAGCAAGUCCCCUUCUCCUCUUCUGUCUUCCAUCCUUUGUUUAUGACCCUGCUGAGAAACCUAACAUAAAGCCAACAGGCACAGAAGAAAUGUAGUUUGUAGAAUCCCAGUCUCUGUAUCACAAAGCAGAACAUAGAUGGUGCAUUUGGGGCUGAGAAACACAGGAGCUUAUAAGUGAUGUGGGGUGACUGGCAUCACUGGGUGAGGUAAGAGUCUGGGGUUGGAGUUAGAUAAGAACCCCAGGAGGAAAGGCUUUUUAAUACUUGGUCCUGCUGGAAUACAUGGCCCAUUGUCUGCAUUGUGCCUUGUCUUAUGGGGAGGAUGGGUCCCUGUCUCCCUUCCUCCUAGACAAGGUGGCAUUAACAAGGCAGUGUAGGAGAAGUUGAAUUUAUUACACUUACAAAUAAUUGGAAGUGAUCUUUAGCAAAUCAAAAAUAUUUAGCAAAUGAUUAAAUAGAUAUAUCUUUCUUCCUUUUGUUUUCUCUUGGUAAAGCACUUCAUUUUUUAAUGAAUAACUAAGGAAAAACUUAACAGGCUCUAACAAUGUAAUUCUAAUUAAAUGCUUUUUACAUUAAAAAAGAUUCAGAACAAUGUGUUGAGUAAGUAAUGGUGUUCAUGAGUAAUCUUUACACCAAGUAAAUGACUUAAGACCAUUUAUUAGAAGACUGUGAGAUCAUUUUUUCAUUUUCUUUCCUUUGUGGUUUGCAAGGAUGAGCAAAAGAAUAUCAACAAAAUAGUGAAAGGAAUUUUGUACAGAUGAACAACUAUCUCUGCUCCACAUCUUCAUCCACACAUCUUUAUAGAACAUUUACUGUAAAGGUGAUUUUGUAAGGGAGGACAUGACACAGUAAGCUUUUAAAAAAAGACUGGUUCUUGCCCUCAAGGAAUUUACAAUUGAAAGGAAGAGAUAGAGUGGACAAAGCAUUUAUGUAUCCCUAUGGCAACAUAUUUGUUUAUCCCAGAAGCUGAGAAUAUGAGCCAAAUAGGACUUGUUCAAAUGGAUGCCUUUCCUUUAGUUAAUGGCCUACCCUGAGAGCUGGUCAUUGCUUACUUGUUCGUUCUUCUGCUGAUGUAGGCAAGAAAGCCUCAAAUACUGAGAAGUACUAACAUAGUAUGAUCAUGUGUAUAAGUCAAUAAUGUAUUUUGGAACAUUUACUAAUGUAACUCCCAGACGUUUUUCUCAUGGAUGGGAUUUUUAUAUUCAUUGGAAAAAUAACAAUCACUGUAGUAUGUACCACUAAUUAAAAACUGUUGAAUAAUUUCCAACAGAUAUUAAGUAAUUAUUGGUAAUUCCAUGUCGGCACCAGUAAAUAAUUAUCUCACCUUGUAUCACAUAAUUAAAAUUACAAUGUCCCCCCAACAAAUAUUAAACAAUCAUAAAUAAUUCCAAUUGUGCAUGAUAGCAGCCACACAUUCAACUGGGCUGUGUUUGUAAUUUAAAAUGACAUUUUUCAUUUGACUGCUGAUUUAUGAAGUUUUAAAAAAUCAAUUUGCCUUUCUUAAUGGGCUAAUGCCCUUUGGGGAUACACCAGAUGUUCUCCUGCCCAAGGUUGGCAGCUGGGCAGAAAAAAAUUAGCCAAGCAUAUUGAUACAAGACCUAAACAAGAAAAGGGUAGUAAUAAUG